GAGAUAGUGCCGAAUACCCACGAGCAAUAAAUUGUAAUCCUCUCAAUUUAUUCAUUUGAUACCUUCUUGCUACCAAACUACUCUCAUGUGAAAAAUAAGACUCUCAUAGCCUUAUUUAUAGUAUUCUUCAUAAUUCAUUCUUAUUAUGGUUUAGAAACAAUUUAUUCUCCUAAUUAAUUUAGGGAUCACAUCUCCUUGUCAUAGUCA
This 207-nucleotide long non-coding RNA is filed under the name Panax ginseng (ginseng). RNAcentral describes it as "long non-coding RNA (PGIN_LNC014206)". The record is from RNAcentral. Lineage: Eukaryota; Viridiplantae; Streptophyta; Magnoliopsida; Apiales; Araliaceae.